AUUGAACGCUGGCGGUAGGCUUAACACAUGCAAGUCGUGCGAGAAAGUAUCUUCGGAUAUGAGUAGAGCGGCGGACGGGUGAGUAACGCGUAGGAAUCUACCUAGUAGAAGGGGAUAGCCCGGGGAAACCCGGAUUAAUACCGUAUACCUCCUUCGGGAGAAAGAAGGCCUCUCUUUGAAGCUUUCGCUAUUAGAUGAGCCUGCGUAAGAUUAGCUUGUUGGUGAGGUAAAGGCUCACCAAGGCGACGAUCUUUAGCUGGUCUGAGAGGACGAUCAGCCACAUUGGGACUGAGACACGGCCCAGACUCCUACGGGAGGCAGCAGUGGGGAAUAUUGGACAAUGGGCGCAAGCCUGAUCCAGCCAUACCGCGUGUGUGAAGAAGGCCUUCGGGUUGUAAAGCACUUUAAGCAGGGAGAAAAAGUUAUAAGUUAAUACCUUAUAACCUUGAUGUUACCUGCAGAAUAAGCACCGGCUAAUUCCG
Molecule: ribosomal RNA, 482 nt
Filed under: uncultured Candidatus Portiera sp.
Lineage: Bacteria; Pseudomonadati; Pseudomonadota; Gammaproteobacteria; Johnevansiales (SeqCode); Johnevansiaceae (SeqCode)
Description: bacterial SSU rRNA
Rfam family: Bacterial small subunit ribosomal RNA
Source: RNAcentral